AUAAAGUCACUACAAACUGCACUUUAGAAACAGUGAUAGCCAUACAGUCGCAACUAAUUCACCAGAACGCUAUAGGCUAGGCUACAUAAAAGUUAGAACUUACAUUACUUGAAUAUUGCAGAUUGCUUUGGAAGUUGGAACGUAACUGCAGUGAGCCGCGUCCCAGCGCAGUACGCAGUACAGAAAGCAGCCAUGUAAACCGAAUAAACAUCAAGUGGAUUCACAGACUACAUAUUCCUAGACAGGGACUAACCUCGAAGAGAAACGUACUGGCUGACCCCCAAGCCCCGAGAGCAGAGUGGGGCCCCGUCCUGGAGAAGAAGGGUGUGUCUGCAGCAGGCUGGAUGUUUCACUCUCUUCUCUUUGUGCUCUUCUUCAUCUGCUGUCAACCUAAGACAAGAUCUCCAAAGAAUGGAACCAGAUAUUGGAGAAGCAGGGAUUGUCUGCAGUAAUACGGUGAGUUGAUGAUUCUUCUGCUGACACAUAAACAUCACUGAGUCAGAGGAAUGUGUUGCAGUAACCUAAGGGCUGCUCGGAUCUAUCCACAAUGCAAAGAGCUACGGCCUCACACAGAUGAGGCGUUCCCAGUGUUGGUUUCAUAGCGAGAGGAUAAAGCACAGACUGCAGGAUAGGUACAUGUGAAGGGCGUGGAUGAAGAUCCACAGCUCUGGAAAGAAAGGCUGCUGUGACCUACAAUCCAAUGCCUGGCAGACUCACAGUUUCCAAAUCUAUGGAGUCCGGGAUGUGCCAUAGACUUUUACACUGUAAUUAUAAUAAAUUAGUUGAUACAUUUUUUAAAAGCAUUAUGAAUGUAAUGUGCAUCUCAGUGAUGCAGUGAUAAACUCAAAGUAAAGAAUAUAUAGCUACA
Molecule: long non-coding RNA, 868 nt
Organism: Sander lucioperca (pikeperch)
Lineage: Eukaryota; Metazoa; Chordata; Actinopteri; Perciformes; Percidae
Exons: 2
Source: RefSeq, a predicted model, not a curated record